UCCAAAAUGGCUGCUGCACUGAUCUUUAUAGGCCCAAACAGCCCUGAAAAUUAGCCUGAGACAGGCUGCAGCAGUGAUCUAAGAGGCCAGUGGGGGGAGGGGGAAUCUUUGCAGACCCCCCCGCCCACCGGGGCCCUCAGGAAGCCCCCCGAAGGGGGUACAGCUCCAGUGCCCCCUCAAUAAUGUUCAACUCAUCUUUCAUCAAGUCGUUAAAUGGCUGUGUCAGCUUCAGCAUCUCCAUCAGCUUUUCUCGAUUGUAGAUGGUACCGAUUUCUUUGCCAAGCAAAAAGUUCAGGAACCUGCUGAUAGGGAGGACCCUGAAGACACACCUGUUUUCCCAAGCCUUCAACUGAGAUUGAAUUUUUAAAAAUAAUGAUGUGUUUUUAACGUGUUUUUAUCUAUAAUUUUUAUCUUGUAAUGAAUUUUAAAUGUGUUCUAUUGUAUGUUUUAAUUUGUAAACUGCCUAGAGAUUUUUAUACUAGGCGGUAUAUACAUUCUAUAUAUAACUAAACAAACUGCUGGGCCUAUACACACAAGUCAAGCAAUGUGUGUUUCAAUUCACAAAUUAUGGGCAGAGAAAUAACUGGGUGGGCAGGCUAGGGGCUUAUAAUAUUUUUUAAAAAGCAACAACACAAACGUGUCUGCAGGACUCAGGACAGGAAGAGUGCUGAGACAGCCUAGCUGAAUUAAUUUUUUAUUAAUGCUAGUAGCACUGGAACAGGCUCAUUUCCUCUUUAAAAAAAUUAUUUGGAAGGGGAAAAAAGAAUUAAUUAUUUAAACCACUACUAGGCUACGCUACCUGUCUAAAGUUGAACCACCUACUACCUAGCUAAAGGGGAUCCGGCCUCUUUAAACUCUAAAGCUACACACUGAAGAACCCCUAUUUAAAACCUAUUCUAAAUAUCACAAAACUUUUAAAAUUCAGUUAAACCCCCAAACCUUAACCUCCCUCCAAACAGGGAAAAAAUAAAUCCCAAAUACACAAUUCAAGAGAGACUAGAGACGUGUGUGUGUGUAAUGGUGUGGUGUAUGUGUGCUAAAAUAUAAAUGGCUGGGCCACUCUCACUCGGUUGAAGGCUUAUCCAAAUGCUGGGUCUCUGUAGUCCACUUCUGAGGAUCUGGUCUCAGUCAGUCUUCCUUACUCUUCAGAUGGGACAGCCUCUCUGGAAAAUUGGUGGCCACUAGGCUGGCUGGUCACAUCUGGGGCUGGAAGCUGCUUCAGGCAGGCAGGCAGCAGUGAUGAUCCUCUCAGUAGUAGGAAGAAGUUUAAAAAAUAAUAAUAAUAAGAAAAACUAAUAAAAAUAUCUUUUCUGCCAACUCUCUUUCUAAAAAAUAAAUAAAAAUAAAAUGCAGGGGAGAAUGACAUGGGCUGGCAGCAAGACGCAGAGGCUGGCAGUGUGCAAGGCAAGCCUGCCCUGCAAGGCAGAAAAGGUUUUAAAAGGGGGGGGGAUUCUCCUCCUUCUCUCCCAAUCUGGUGGUUUCUUCCUAAAAAAAAAAAAAAAAAAAAGCUGGAAAAAUCAAUGCAGGAAGGCAGGCUGGGUGCCAGCUGGCAAUACUAUAAUAAUAGCAGCGCUAUGCUGGGCAAAAUGGAGGCAAUGGUGGACGAUAGGGGCAACAAGGCUAAGGCAAUCAGGCAAUAGAGCUCUCUCUUCUCCCACACGAGGCAGCAGCAGAAAGGGAGAAAAUAGCUAUGCUGGCCCUUUAAAUACCCUCCUGCAAAACCCUCCAAAACCUGCCCCCACCCUUGCCCCUUCCUCCACCUCCCCCUGGCCAAUGGGGGGUUAAUUUGGCUCCUGAACACCAAAUAUGGGCAUUCCUCUGCAGAUAGGACCUUUUCCAUUGAAGUCAAUGGAAGCUAAAAGGCGGGAAAUUCAAGCAAGAACUCAAAAUGGAGGAGGAGGAAGAAGCACUUUAUAGGCCACAAAAUGGAGGGCUGGAACCACAAAUUAUUCGGAGCCAAAAUGAAGGUGAUUUGUUUCAGCUCCAAAACAUUUCGGGAGGGCAAGAGGGUGAUUCGUUUCAUCAACGAAUCACCCAAAAUGAUCAGUUUCGGGUACAGAUCAUUCGGUACUCGAAACGUUUCACACAUCCCUACAUCACACUGAAUGAAGAGGGAUGAAAGGACAGCGAUUUCCCAAGGACAGGUACUAGAAAAUAAUGGCUGUCCCUGAGAAAAAAGGGGAGUAUAUGAUCUGUGAUGUGAUUCCAUACUAGUCUUGAUAUCUAUAUGCAAUCUCCAAGUUCAGUGAAAGGGUGUGUCUAAUACCAGUUGCUGUGAAUAAGCAACUGGAAAUGGUUAGUCCCACAAAUGGCUUGCUUCUGAGCUUUCCAGAAGCAGAGCCCUGAUAGUCAGAGAUCAGAUCAGGCUGCUAUUUACUGUAGUUAAGAAUCAAUAAGCACAGUAGUAUUAAGCACAGGUUUAAUCUAAUCUGUAGUCUGAAAGUAAGCGCUCGGGCUUUUGGUAUACAGAUGAAAAUAUAAGGACAAUUCAGAUCUCUGAUUCUGGUGAAAUUUAUAAUUGUAAUUACAGUAAGCUCUUGUGAUUUUAAGAACCAUUCACUUUUAUGUUCCUGCCAUAUGGCUGAAAAUGGAAUUCAGUACAGUAUCUCUUUGGAGAUACUCCUGAUAGGUAGCUUUUUGGGUUUGUUUGUUUUUUUUAAAAGCAUCCUAAACAAGAUGCCCUGUUGUCUAAAGUUAACAGCACUCAUGAAUAGGUAUUGAGGUACAGUAUUUUCCCCACCCUCCCUCAAGGGAUUUUUCUCCAUUAUGUUAUUUUAUUUUUUUCUUCCAGACACAUAAAUUGAGUUUUUCAGCAAAUAAUGACAGAACAUCUUUGGAGGAUAAAUGCCAGAUGCUUCUGUGUCUAUGUGUGUCAUCCUCUCCUUUCUGUUAUUCCUCUUCUACGUCUUCUACUUCAAUCUGUCUGCAUUACAGACAGAUAUUGCUUUCUGUUCUAUGGAGGUCAUUACAUUUGUAAUUGGAAACCUCACAAUUUUUCCCUCCUCCCAUCCCCUCCAGAUACAGCCAACAAUAGAAACUUCAGUGUUAGGCUCAAACUUCAUCUACAGAAAAGAAGUUAUAGUCACAGAGGAAAAUUGAUUUUUUCUCCUUUCUUUAAAUCUUCAAAAUAAACUCAAAUGCUGGUUAAAGGUAUUGAAUUAGAUGGCCUAGAAGUUGAAGAUUCUGGUGUGAAGAGUUAUGUAACUAAAAAGGAGUGCCAUUAUGUUUUUUUUUUUUUUAAAUGUAAAGGUAAAAGAUAGAGUGUGCUGUCGAGUUGGUUUCAACUCCUAGCGACCACAGAGCCCUGUGGUUGUCUUUGGUAGAAUACAGGAGGGGAGGGGUUUACCAUUGUCUCCUCCCAUACAGUAUGAGAUGAUGCCUUUCAGCAUCUUCCUAUAUCACUGCUGCCCAAUAUAGGUGAUUCCCAUAGUCUGGGAAACAUACCAGUGGGGAUUCGAACCGGCAGCCUCUGACUUUGAUUAUCAUCAAGUCAUUUCCCUGCUGCACCAUUAGGUAGCUUUUUAAAAAUGCACCACAACUUAAAAUAUUUAAAAAGAAUGUUGUCCUGUGGGAAGAAGCAGUUGCCAUCUGCUUUUUCAGUCCAGGCUGCACCAACACAACAGAAUUGUGUGAUCUGUGCAGAAGUCGCACAAGAUUCUGAGAUAUUCCUGUCUUCUGUAGCAAUAUAGCCAGAAUUUAUGCUUCAGAAACUUUAUGGGGUAAUGCAGGAAUAGAGAAGAAGAAAUUAAAUAGGGACCCACAGUGUAUGCCUAAAAUUGCUGUACACAUAUGCAUUUAGUCCACAAACAAGCAAUAGAACAUAUUAGUUUGCCCAUUUUCUGUGUAUUGCACAUUCAGAUAGUCUCCCUAUCUGCCUCCAGUUUUUUGUUUUAUAUGUUCUCAUGAGCUGAGCUACAUUUUGGUAGAUCUCAUACGCACAUGUAUGCACAAGUCUUGUUCACAUGUCAUGUUCAACCCAGACAAUCCAUCUACAGUUUAUGCACAUACAGAUCUGUACACAUAUGUUCAAGGCAUUCACACAAAUGUGCAUAUGUGUACAGACACUUGUAUGCACAUACAACGUAACAUAUGAAUAAGUCUAGAGUUGCUGCCAGCACAGCAGAAAGACCUGCAUGCAUAUGCAGUCCGCCAUGCAUAUAAGCAGCCUUCAGUGCCGAUGCAGAUGUACAUCAUGAUGCUCAUUCCAGGCCUUAGUGAACUGGUUGGAUGCAUCUUUUGAUGCAAAUGUGAAUAUAUCCACAUCUGGGGGCACCAGUUGACUCGCCCACAAUUGUAGAUAGAUUGGGACUAUUGUGUUCUAGAACUCAUGACCAGAUUUCAGAGAAGCCUAUAGCCCAUUCCACAUAUUAUGUUCCUCACUCAUAUGACUAGUGUACAGUGUACACAGGUACAGUUAUUCACACACUAUGCUCACACAGGUACAGUAGUUGACUUCCUAUCUGUACCAUACAUUUGAUGGGCCUGUACGUAGACUUACUUUUAAAAUGAACGCACGGACAGUCAUUUUCACAAAAACACAUAUGGGUGUACAGACAUCAACAUGGACAAUCUGUGUACACUCUGCACUCAUACAACAUAAUUUCUGGCAUCUUUACACUCAUACAAUUUCUGAAUAGGGCUUAUAUCUCUGUCUUAUGAUCCACAUAGAGUAACUGAAUAUGGCCAACCACCUUACUGGAAUCUAAACUGGCAUCCUUGCUCCUGAACAUCAUGUGCUUUAUUUGAAGGGGUGGUUCUGAAUUUGAGGUAAUGCUCCAUAUUCUAUCACAUGGAACAGAAAGUGAGAAUUCUUAAUGCAGACUAGUCUAACUGGACACAGGAACUCAGGCAAAAGGCACUGUAAGAUGAUGAACUCUAAUGAUGAUAAACUCCCGAUAACAAACUCUAAGAGAGGGGAGAGCUGGUCUUGUGGUAGCAAGCAUGACUUGUCCCCUUAACUAAGAAGGAUCUGCCCUGGUUGCAUAUGAAUGGGAGACUUGAUGUGUGAGCACUGUAAGAUAUUCCCCUCAGGGGAUGGAGCCACUCUGGGAAGAGCAGAAAGUUUCAAGUUCCCUCCCUGGCUACUCCAAGAUAGGACAAGAUUUUUGUUUAUUUUUAAUAGGACAAGAUUUUUUUAUUGAACCAACAAACUACCAAAGCAUGCAGUACAUUGCCAAAGCACAAUUAUAUACAAAGUGGUUGUUUGUACAUGAUAUAUCUACAAAGAUUUACACACAAGGAUUUGGAAACCCACAAGUUAUGAAGUAUAUGCAGGUAGAACUGUAACUCGGGGGUGGGAGAUUUCAAGGCACAUCAGGUAAUCGGGGGGGUUAUGUCCGAUGUCCAUUUCCACAAUUUGUCCCAUUGCUGUUUAGAAGAGAUACUCUUGUCUUUUUGCACAUAACCAUACAAACUUUUCCAGAAGAGAUUUACUGUCUCAUCUGCGUGAACUUCUUGGUCGCGUCUUCCCUCCGUAUUCCUAUGCAGGAGCAUUGCAUAAAUGACAUACAGGUUUACUAACCUGAUUACGAGAAGGGGAACGUUCCAGUUCCCUAGUAUGAGGGCACCCGUUCCGUCCCGUUUCCUUGAAGAUUUCUUUCUGGGACCUCGAAAGGAUAGACAACCGUCAGGUUAUGCACCGGGGGUAUCAGGAAAAUAACCUUUGGAACUUAGGAGAGGAUCCUAAGCUACCACCAAACUUACACAAUGGCAACAACUGAUAGGGAUUUCCAUGCCAUUUCAUCCUUUGAAUGGAGAGAUUUGUGAUUGGGUAAGGGGUAAAUUGUAUGUGGAUCAGAAACAGAUUGCGAAGCAGCAAACAUUUCAAGUGGGGGACUUUGUUCGAGCACAGCUGCCUUAUAAAGUGAAAAGGGGUUGUUCCUGAUAUUCUGGACAAAAACAAAUAAUUGAAAUCCAAGGAGAUUCUGUCAUAUUGGAUGAAGGAAAGAAAUGGAACAGUUCGAGACUUUCCAGCACGCAUACUAUGAGAAAAGAGGGAAGGGAGUCUGGUCUCAAGAGAGGAACUGGAGAGGACUUUGAUCUUGCCUCCAGUUUGGACUUCACAGAGGAGGCUGAGGAAAGUGAUGGACAAUCAUCUUCACCAGAAAGAACAUCACUAACAGCUCCUGUGCCAGAGAACCCAAGAAUUAAGAGAAGUGUGUGUGACAGGAGAACAUCUAAAAGACUUCAAGACUUAUUUUUGAAUCAAUUCAAUCCUGUUUGUUAUAAAGGGGAGAGAUGUAUUGUAUUCUAUCUAAUAUCUUCUUUGUCUUGUUGUUGAGAAGUUUGUCCUAGUGGGUAUCCUGUAGAGAGUGUGGUGGGUGAAGUCAGAAAGGAAAAGGGAGGGAAAGGAGAAGGAGAAAAUUGAAUUCUUUCUGAAUAAAUCUUAGUCAAAUCUAUAUAAGAUUACUUUGUGUUUCUGAAACAGCUAUAAAAUACUGAAUAUGCCUUUUGUGACACGAAGCAAAUAUAUCCAAGAUUUUCUUCAGAUCAGGAGACUUUGACAACUUUUCUUAAAUAGCCACGGUAGCCAAUGCACCGCAAGUUUUGUUGAAUGCUGGUGGAGUAUGUGCCUUAGUUUGUGCAUUUUGUUUCAUAAAAAGCAGUGACAUUGUCAAUGCUUGCUUGCUUGACAUUUCCAAACUUAUUCAGAAAAUGGGCCAGAUUCUUCUUAGAAAACACUGUUUUUGGGAUUAGGACAAACCCUCUUGUCUG
Molecule: long non-coding RNA, 6714 nt
Organism: Hemicordylus capensis (graceful crag lizard)
Lineage: Eukaryota; Metazoa; Chordata; Lepidosauria; Squamata; Cordylidae
Exons: 4
Source: RefSeq, a predicted model, not a curated record